CUGCAGCCCAGUCAGGCAUAUGCACUGGUGUGGGUACCACAGUCACAGUAACCCUUCCUUCUUUAAGCUGCUUCUCAUCAGUCUAUGUCACCUCAAGAAGAUGCCUGGUGGACUGAGUCCCUGCCCUGGUAUGCUCGAUAAGGUGGGAAAGUGACAGCAACAGCUAGCUGGGCCUGAGAAAAGUGUGCACCCUUUCCUGGGUCCACACCACCACAAUAUAUUCCUGUCCCACUUUGCAAAACCUACGUGAUCAUGUUACCAGAGGUGGAGAAGAUAUUGUCCUUCUUCAACAUGACUCCAAGACUGACCAGCAUAGCCACAAGACUCUUGAUGACCUGAGUCCAUCUUUACUUGGAUUCACACAGCACUGGAGAAGAUGUCUACUUGGUGCUGGGUGUGGGAUGGGGUAGGUGAGGUGUCAAAGCCUUGAGGGCUCCCGAGACCUUAUGUCCCAAGCCCUCAUUAUUUUACUUGUGUCCCAUACUUUUGCCUGAUGCUGCCCUGGAGCCCAGUGGAUAUUUGUGAAAUAGUAGCCUCAUUAUCUAUUACAUAUAGUGUCAUAUCAGUAUAAGU
Long non-coding RNA from Mesocricetus auratus (golden hamster), 573 nucleotides. RefSeq lists it as uncharacterized. The record is from RefSeq and is a predicted model, not a curated record. Lineage: Eukaryota; Metazoa; Chordata; Mammalia; Rodentia; Cricetidae. The transcript is spliced from 3 exons.